Molecule: non-coding RNA, 127 nt
Filed under: Sutterella wadsworthensis HGA0223
Lineage: Bacteria; Pseudomonadati; Pseudomonadota; Betaproteobacteria; Burkholderiales; Sutterellaceae
Description: DUF3800-I RNA
Rfam family: DUF3800-I RNA
About the family: Actinobacteria, Firmicutes, Fusobacteria, Proteobacteria (1 example), Tenericutes (2 examples). Terminator (Clostridia)
Source: Rfam by way of RNAcentral
UGAGGUUACGGAUCCUUCGGGAGUCCGUGUACCGAGGCUAAGUGAAUUAACGUUUAAGCGCGCUGUAAGCACGCCACCCCUCGGGGAGAAGCCGCCUAUAUAGAAAUUGGCGGCUUCUUUUUUGCUU